AAAGCCGAAGACGGGAAAACUUGAUGGGAUUGUGGGGAGUCCUGGCGGCCCUGGCCAGGGAGUGGGGGGCUGGUGAGGGCCGCGGGACUGGGCAGGGCAGGGCAGCGCACAGCAGCAGGGGCAAGGUGGGUGCUCCGCCGUGUGCCAGCUUGGGUCGCGGGGCCCGUGACACCACAGAGGGUAACACGUUGCUCCUGUGGGACCAUCCCAAGGAGCCAAGGUGCGCAGCAGUGCCGAGAGACAAUUUUUGGUGAAGAGGGACGGACCAGAGGGAGGACUUUGUUCUUCCGACUGCGUUGAUCGUAGCAAAGGGGAGAGUGGGAAGGGUCAGCCCAGGCUGGCCCUUCCUCGGCUGGGCUUCAGUGCAAUUCCCUUCGUCCCUUUGGAAACACGAUAGUUGCCUUGGGUUUUGUUCCAUUCCUUUGGUUUCACGCUUUCUAGAGCAAGCAUCGCAACUCCAGAAAACUUACUUGUAAGCUCUUUGUACUUUUCUUAAUUGUCUUGAUCAAUUUAGUACCUUAUUAUUUCCCCAUUCUCUUUUUCUGUGAUAUGUAAUAACCAUCAAUUUUUAUAUUUUUUCAUCCUAAUCCUCUACUUUCUUGUGCUUUCUUGUCCCAUUUUCCUAAUUGUCCCUCUCUCUUCUUAGAUCUACCUAUUUCAGAAUUUCUGAAGUCUACAUCUUACUUUUUACUUUUUACUUUUUAGUUAUUCAUUCUCCUCCUCCUUAAUCUCUUCCCACCUACUCUUCUGCCUUUAUGCUUGGCUUUCUCAUGAAAAACUCCUUUUGCCGGGAGCUUUCCUUUCCUCCAUGCGUAGAAACGCUUGUUUCUCCUGAUGUGGAGCAAACAUAAAACUUCUUCUUGUUCUCUCCUAAACUUAUUCUUCUGUGGGCUGCCCUAUAUCCAUGUUACCCAGUUAUGCAGACAGAGCUAGAAGUAAUUCGUGUUCACAAAUGUUCACUUUCUCUUUUCUUCUCAUCUUUGUCUCUAUGUACAUGCAUCUUCCAGUCCCUAAAAGCUUCUUCUAGUUCCUCUCCAUUGUCCUUAGUGUAGAAGUUUGUUCUUUUCCCUUUCUCCCACUCCAUCUUGGCAGACCCAAUGUUGUUCUUCAUGUCAUUGUUCCAUCCUGUGCAGAGUACUCAGACUUUUCUCUCCAUUCCUUAUAGUUCCCUUCCCAACCUAAGUAAAAUUUGCUUUUUGCACCCCUGAAGGUGUUGCAGAGAAGGGCUACCAGAGAAGACUGAUGUGAAUUUGGCCACUUUGGCUUCUUACAGGGCCAAAUGCCGUAAGUGGUGCUCAUAGUUUAGGUCCCAACUGAAGUAGCACAUCUGCUGGUGGAGGUGCUGUGGGGAGACACUUCAACAGGGCUAAGGAGCCAGAGAAGAUCACAUAUGUUUCCCUCAAAAGGGUUGAUGAGUUUUAUUUUUUCUACUUGGGUUUUUUUUUAAAUUGACUUACUCUCUUCAUUAGUUUUUAAAUACCUGCCAGGGCAGUUGGAGAGCCUUUAUGUUAUCUUUUUUCCCUGUCACUUCAGUGCUUUCUGGAAGGUAAGACUCUGCAGAAAAAGACUCUAAGCCUUUUUCUUAAACCUUCUUCUAUUACACUUCAGCCCCACAAUAUUUUUAAAGCAAAAUGUCAUCCCCAGGCUUUGAGUUUAGGAUGUGUCUAAAUCUGUGAAGAAAUUUGUGUUUGAAAUUAUUCAGAAGAAUGUAACUUUAUAUUUGUAUGUUAGUCCCCGAGUGGUGUGGCGGAGUUACUGUGCUGAACUAACACUUCUUCCUCAAAUUUGAACAGGUCACAACAUGAUUGUUGGGAAAAUGGGAUGGCUGCCAGAACAUCAGUCGGUGAUGGGUGCCAUAUUGCAUUACUCUUCGAAUGGUGGAAUAGAGCUUGGGAUUCCUCUGGGCUGCUUGACAUGAUUCAAACUGGACCAUACAGAUGCCUAACAUCUUAGCUGUUUGGAUUCAUAGUAAUGGUUAAUGGUCUCCUGGGGGAAGUGGAAAAGCCCCAUGCUGAAACUUGUGGAUAUUACGGAACAUGCUGCUGAGACCUAUUUGGAUUAUACUGCCAUGUGACACCAAGGUUCUGCAUCUGAUGAGAGGAGUUCACCAGAUCUUUUUAUGUGGUUGCUGAAGCAUUGCCCUGGGACAGCAGUAAUGAUGGAUGGACGAACAGAACACACUUCAGGCUUGAGUCACAGAGAAACAUGAGGAUUUGCACUUCUGAAAUAAGUGUGAAUGGGAUUGAAAGAACUAAAUGGAGGAUUCUGAACUCCCCUUCUUCCUGCUCCGGGAAAGAUGGGAGAUUUAGAUGGAUCACUCUGCCAGCUGUCAAGGCCAAUACUGCUCUACAGCCCCUGCUCUCAGCCACAUCCUCAGUGUCCUUGUGGCAGGGUGUCUUGGUAGGACUGUGCAGAUCAAGCUUCACACGACCUCUGCACUUCAGUCUCUCUGUGCUGAGGCAAUGAACACAGACCUAUACUUCACACUGGUUUAUCAAAGGAAUUUUUCCAGUCCCUGUUCAAACAAUUUCUGCCUGAGCAUCUCUGAACAGCUAACUGGAGCAACUGGAAUGAGAGGCAUAAAGCUGUGCCAUUCGGAAGAAGCAAGACAGUCUUUCCUCACAGCUACGAUGCUGCACCGCUUCCGACAGAACCUGCUUUUCCCUCCAUUUACCUGGGCGACUGCUGCUCUUUCUGCUGCUGCUGGGGCUGCUGCAGUCUUGCUGCCUGCGCUUCACCCUGGCUUGGCUGACUCGAAACUCUUUCGUCUGCACAUUGCUAAGGAAGAAGAGCGAUGGAGCCACGGAUAUUUUUUUUAUUGGUUCUGGAAGCCAAGGGUUGCAAUAUGUGAUGAUUUCGGGGUUUUCUGUGGCGGGGUGGAGGGAGGAGAAAGGAAGGGUAUUAAUCUAGGAUAGGGUGGGUGAAAGCUUAAAGAAAUAUUAUGUAAAGUAAUCCAGUGCUUGACAAGGGCAUCAGCAACAAGAAUCCAGCCUCUGCUGCUCCAGAGGAUUAAUAUGGGGAAGUCACAGUGCUGCAGUCGGGUUUCACCUCAGUGCUGUACUGGAGAUGGAUAAAUAAGGUAUUGGUUGCAUCUGCCUGUUAAGGCAAAGCCAAGGGAGAAGGAGAGAGCGAGUGAAUGCAAAUGCAAAGGAAGAAGAAACGCUCUGUGCCGUUUGUCUGAUUCUGCGGAUUCUCACUGCAGAGAGGAUGGCUUGAUUAACAAAGCAAUGUAUGGACCGAGGGACUGUAAAUUGUAGCUUGAGCAUUCCUGGUGCUGCCAGGGAGUGAACUGAUGAGUUAGGUAGCUGCAGGAAUAUCCCCAGGGUAAACAGCAGCCUCUCACUCUGUGUCUAUAUUUGUGUACGUAUGUGCUUUUGUGUGUGUGUGUGUGAACACGUACAGAAAUGAAAGAAAGACAUUUCUGACCAAUUUACAGGGGACGUUUGUCAGUUUGCUGGGUCAGACUUGAUUACAGCUUGUAUUUUCAGCUCUAGCUCUACACCCAUUUCCUGACUGAGGUGGCACUUUGUGAAAACAGAUGGUAGGCAGUAUUCUUUUAAGAAUUGUGAAAGCAGAUCCUUUCCGCUUAACACCUUGAAGCACUGAACCUUCUGCACUGUGCUGAGAGAAACCGUGGGGUUUCAUUUUCUCCAUCUUAAAAUCUCUAUAAACACAGCUGUAUUCAGUAUGGUGAAAAAUUCUAUACUGUAAAUAGAAAUGUGAUCAAUCUAAUCAAAAUAAAUGCAUCCCAGAUGACUUCUAGACCAGCUGGCUACCACAGUCAUCAGAUGGCUAAAUCCUCAACUGAGCAUUUGUAUUCAGUGUUAUACUUGCAUCUUUUUAUUUUUCUCUUUUUUUUUUUCUUAGAUUUUCAAAAUCAGCCUCUAAUUUAAAAGGAUUCUUCAUAUAUUUAGAAAAGGCAAUGCUUUCUGUGAAAUGUACCUGGGUGUAUUUUUUACUUUGGAAUCUGCUUGGGGCGAUUUUAGAGUAGGUAGACUUGUCACAGUACAGGCAUAUUUCAUUUGGUAGGUAGCUCAGCCUGGCCAUAUCUGAACAAUGCAGAAACAGGGAAAACAACCACUGCAUACAGCUAGCAGGGCUUGGCAUGGAUUUUAGCAGCUGCCUAUCAAGAAAGACAAGUUUUUUUUCUUUCCGUUUUUCCCUUUUAUACAAAGCCAUAGACCAUAAUGUCAUACUAAAAUGUGUAUGAGGGGAUUUCCCAAUAGUCAUGGUGAGCUAGCCUGCAGGACUCCCGUCUAGUCCUUCCACUAUUUUUUCCCCAGCUUACAAAGGCAGCCCUGUAUGUUGAAUUGUAUUUAGCCAGCUGUUGGAUAGCAUUCUUGUGCUGGGGGCUAAGGAGUCUUAUUACUCCCAAACUGUAGUUUUCUGUUUGCUUAAAGAAAAUUGGCAAUACAGCAGGCUCUGCAAAUAAGUUUAUGCCACUCCUA
RNAcentral lists this long non-coding RNA (4448 nucleotides) under Taeniopygia guttata (zebra finch). RNAcentral's name for it is "lncRNA (ENSTGUG00000023495.1)". The record is from RNAcentral. Lineage: Eukaryota; Metazoa; Chordata; Aves; Passeriformes; Estrildidae.